CGUAGAUGUCGAUUUGGAGGUUGUGCCCUUGAGGCGUGGCUUCCGAAGCUAACGCGUUAAAUCGACCGCCUGGGGAGUACGGCCGCAAGGUUAAAACUCAAAUGAAUUGACGGGGGCCCGCACAAGCGGUGGAGCAUGUGGUUUAAUUCGAUGCAACGCGAAGAACCUUACCUACUCUUGACAUCCAGCGAAUCCUGUAGAGAUACGGGAGUGCCUUCGGGAACGCUGAGACAGGUGCUGCAUGGCUGUCGUCAGCUCGUGUUGUGAAAUGUUGGGUUAAGUCCCGCAACGAGCGCAACCCUUAUCCUUUGUUGCCAGCGGUUCGGCCGGGAACUCAAAGGAGACUGCCAGUGAUAAACUGGAGGAAGGUGGGGAUGACGUCAAGUCAUCAUGGCCCUUACGAGUAGGGCUACACACGUGCUACAAUGGCGUAUACAAAGAGAAGCGACCUCGCGAGAGCAAGCGGACCUCAUAAAGUACGUCGUAGUCCGGAUUGGAGUCUGCAACUCGACUCCAUGAAGUCGGAAUCGCUAGUAAUCGUGGAUCAGAAUGCCACGGUGAAUACGUUCCCGGGA
Molecule: ribosomal RNA, 575 nt
Filed under: Edwardsiella tarda
Lineage: Bacteria; Pseudomonadati; Pseudomonadota; Gammaproteobacteria; Enterobacterales; Hafniaceae
Description: bacterial SSU rRNA
Rfam family: Bacterial small subunit ribosomal RNA
Source: RNAcentral